RNAcentral lists this transfer RNA (69 nucleotides) under Acraea vestalis. Its description in RNAcentral is "tRNA-Cys". Lineage: Eukaryota; Metazoa; Arthropoda; Insecta; Lepidoptera; Nymphalidae. The record is from RNAcentral.
AGCUUUAUAUUCAAUUAUGAUAUAAAAUUGCAAAUUUUAUGGUAUAGUAGUAUAAUACUAUUAAGGCUU